This is a long non-coding RNA of Spodoptera frugiperda (fall armyworm), 329 nucleotides long. RefSeq lists it as uncharacterized. The record is from RefSeq and is a predicted model, not a curated record. NCBI's taxonomy places the organism in Eukaryota, Metazoa, Arthropoda, Insecta, Lepidoptera, Noctuidae. The transcript is spliced from 2 exons.
CUUUAACGUCACGGGCGGGGUCUGAACAGACCCCACGCGCUGUUUUUUAACGAUAAUUUUUGAAAUUGUCUAAUUACGAACGCGUGUUUCCGGCUAAUCUCAGUGCGACGCGAAACCUAUCGGCGAGUGGACGUACGUCGCUCUUGUGCUAAGAAUUGGUGUUGAAUAAAAGGAAAAAUGAGUCGCCGACUAACUGAAUAUUAAAUUGAUCAAAUCAUACACGAUUUUAGUGACUCAGAAAGCGAAGGCAUAGGAGACACGCCUCAAGAGAAUAUUUUGGAAGAAGUGGGUGAUAUAAGUGACUGUAAAUCUAUACAUAGCGAACAUAA